This 190-nucleotide small nuclear RNA is filed under the name Castor canadensis (American beaver). RNAcentral's name for it is "U2 spliceosomal RNA (ENSCCNG00000007934.1)". It matches the Rfam family "U2 spliceosomal RNA". Rfam says of the family: U2 is a small nuclear RNA (snRNA) component of the spliceosome (involved in pre-mRNA splicing). Lineage: Eukaryota; Metazoa; Chordata; Mammalia; Rodentia; Castoridae. The record is from Rfam by way of RNAcentral.
AUCACUUCUUGGCCUUUUGUCUAAGAUCAAGUGUAGUAUCUGUUCUUAUCAGUUUAAUAUCUGAUACAUCCUCUUCCAAGGACAGUAUAUUCAUGGAUUUUUUGGAGCAAGGAGAUGGAAUAGGUGCCUGCUUUGUCCACUCCAUGCAUCAAUCUGGUAUUGUAGUACUUCCAGGAACAGUGCACCCUUU